CUCUGAAAUGGAAUAUUAUAACUAAAAUUGCAUUGUACAUUCGGAACAGUCCCAAAAAGACAUAACCUCAUGUCUAUACUCGAUAUGCACCCCCUCGUCGAGGUCCAUCACAAGAAAAACGAAAAUCAAGAUUUGCUUUAUCUGAUAUCGAACAUGAACCGCGAGCAAAUAGAACACCUUUACAAAAAAAGAGAAAGGAAGCAGAAACACAAGAAAAAUGUUCUAUCUUAAUUGAAUCUCGUAUCAUCUCACACCAUCUUAAUUAAUUAGGUAUUCAACCUUACAAAAAAUCAUAAGAUGAGAGAAAUCUCAGUAGUUCUGUUGAUUGAUUAUCUGAACGUUUACCUUGUUGACGAGGGUUCGAUUCCCCGUAUCGAACCCCAUUAGCAAGGAUUGUUUUCAUUGGUAGUAUCAAACAACUCUGUCUCAAGUUUACUUCUACAAACAGGACAAACAGGAUGUUUGGCCAACCAAGUAUCAGCACAUUCAAUAUGAAAACCAUGAUUACAACCUGGUACAAUUCUUGCCACUUGUUCUUUUUCAAUUUCAUCCAAACAGACAGCACAAUCAUUUCCCAUAACCAAUUCUUGUCCACUAACUUUAGGCAAUUUAUCCAAUUGUGUUAAAGAAAGUCCUUUUUCUUUAACACCCUUUGUAGUUUCUUGAUUAAUAUUAUGUUGUACUUGUUGUUGCCUUGUUGUUGUAGCAUAACAAAGAAAACACAUGUACACCACAAAAACAACACUCAUCCCAACACAUGGAAGAAAUAAUGCUAGAAACACACUAAAAAGCAUUGUUUUUUUAUAGGAUUUUCGAUUUCAAGACCUUUCGUAAAGAGUAUCUUUCUGGUUAAUACCAAAACGAUUCGAGUAUAUUUACUUAAGGAGGGUGUUUAUAAUAGUAGCAAUGAUAGGAAAGUAAAGAAGAGAAGAGGGUUUUUGAUUUCAAAACCUUUCGAGGAGAGUAUCGUUUUGGUUAAUAUCAGCACGAUUAGAGUAUAUUUAUUUAAGGGGGGUGUUGAUAAUAGUUGUGGCAAUGAUAGGAAAGAAAAGAAGAGGAGGGUUUUUGAUUUCAAAAUCUUUCAAAAAGAGUAUCGUUUUGGUUAAUAUCAGCACGAUUAGAGUAUAUUUAUUUAAGGGGGGUGUUGAUAAUAGUUGUGGCAAUGAUAGGAAAGAAAAGAAGAGGAGGGUUUUUGAUUUCAAAAUCUUUCAAAA
Molecule: unclassified non-coding RNA, 1214 nt
Filed under: Hevea brasiliensis (rubber tree)
Lineage: Eukaryota; Viridiplantae; Streptophyta; Magnoliopsida; Malpighiales; Euphorbiaceae
Source: RNAcentral